Molecule: ribosomal RNA, 496 nt
Filed under: uncultured bacterium
Lineage: Bacteria
Description: partial 16S ribosomal RNA
Rfam family: Bacterial small subunit ribosomal RNA
Source: RNAcentral
AUGAACGCUGGCGGCGUGCCUAAUACAUGCAAGUCGAGCGAACAGACGAGGAGCUUGCUCCUCUGACGUUAGCGGCGGACGGGUGAGUAACACGUGGAUAACCUACCUAUAAGACUGGGAUAACUUCGGGAAACCGGAGCUAAUCCCGGAUAAUAUAUUGAACCGCAUGGUUCAAUAGUGAAAGACGGUUUUGCUGUCACUUAUAGAUGGAUCCGCGCCGCAUUAGCUAGUUGGUAAGGUAACGGCUUACCAAGGCAACGAUGCGUAGCCGACCUGAGAGGGUGAUCGGCCACACUGGAACUGAGACACGGUCCAGACUCCUACGGGAGGCAGCAGUAGGGAAUCUUCCGCAAUGGGCGAAAGCUUGACGGAGCAACGCCGCGUGAGUGAUGAAGGUCUUCGGAUCGUAAAACUCUGUUAUUAGGGAAGAACAAAUGUGUAAGUAACUAUGCACGUCUUGACGGUACCUAAUCAGAAAGCCACGGCUAACUACGUG